This 269-nucleotide long non-coding RNA is filed under the name Locusta migratoria (migratory locust). Its description in RNAcentral is "partial Lnc23691". The record is from RNAcentral. Lineage: Eukaryota; Metazoa; Arthropoda; Insecta; Orthoptera; Acrididae.
ACAAGUUUAUAUGUACACAACAAACAAAUGCAUCAUCCAUCUUCAACAAUUUCUUACAGCAUGCAAACCAUACAAGUAUGUCACAGUUUGUGUUAGUCUCUCAACAUACUGGUAACUACAAUGUAAAGCAAAACAAGAUACAUUCAUAAAUUUGUGUUCUAGUUAACAAGAUAUUUAAAUUAACUUACUCCAGUAAAAAUCAGUUGUGAGUAUGCAUUCCUAAUUUCUUCAUCAUAGCACAUUUAAAGUAAUAGAUCUACAAUGCUAUG